This 428-nucleotide long non-coding RNA is filed under the name Chinchilla lanigera (long-tailed chinchilla). RNAcentral's name for it is "lncRNA (ENSCLAG00000022325.1)". The record is from RNAcentral. Lineage: Eukaryota; Metazoa; Chordata; Mammalia; Rodentia; Chinchillidae.
UUAUUUCUGUGGAGGUUGCUGGAAGCUCUCUGGUCACUGCAGUAGAGGAGUGCAUAUGAAAAUGAAGUAAACAUAUGGGAAAGAAGAACGAAGGUGAUGAGAGGCCCAAGGAGACAUGAUAUACACAUCUGGAUCAUACUGUAUGUGAAGGUCAAUGCUGAAGAUUCUGCUGUAUGACAUUGUGCCUUCUAGAAGAAAGCACCCCAGGAGAGGGAAUAUGAUGUGUUCUCUGCCACCUAUCUCAUUGCAGAGAUGAACAUGCAUGACAAAAUGAUCUCCAGAAAAGACACACUUGAGAUGUGAUACUGACUCACCACAGCUUGAGGAUGAGUUUAGAGAGAAGGACAACAGAAGAGCAAAGAAAGAAUCAAGAAGGUUGCUUUACUGUGUGGUAGGAACUUCAAGAGAAAUAAUCUAGGUAAUCUGAG